ACUGUGGAGUAUCAUAUCAAAUGCGAGUAGCUUUUAUGGCAAAAGCAGAUACGUUGAAACAGUAA
RNAcentral lists this non-coding RNA (65 nucleotides) under Clostridium neonatale. RNAcentral describes it as "RAGATH-18". It matches the Rfam family "RAGATH-18 RNA". Rfam says of the family: Actinobacteria, Firmicutes, Fusobacteria, Thermotogae (1 example). Lineage: Bacteria; Bacillati; Bacillota; Clostridia; Eubacteriales; Clostridiaceae. RNAcentral also lists the same sequence under 1 other name. The record is from RNAcentral.